GACGGAGGGUGCGAGCGUUAUUCGGAAUCAUUGGGCGUAAAGAGCGUGUAGGCGGCCGGUUAAGUCAGGUGUGAAAGCCCGGGGCUCAACCUCGGAAGGGCACUUGAAACUAAUCGGCUUGAGUUCGGGAGAGGGUAGCGGAAUUCCUGGUGUAGAGGUGAAAUUCGUAGAUAUCAGGAGGAACACCGGUGGCGAAGGCGGCUACCUGGACCGAAACUGACGCUGAGACGCGAAAGCGUGGGGAGCAAACAGG
Molecule: ribosomal RNA, 253 nt
Filed under: uncultured bacterium
Lineage: Bacteria
Description: partial 16S ribosomal RNA
Rfam family: Bacterial small subunit ribosomal RNA
Source: RNAcentral